Long non-coding RNA from Amblyraja radiata (thorny skate), 3560 nucleotides. RefSeq lists it as uncharacterized. The transcript is spliced from 2 exons. The record is from RefSeq and is a predicted model, not a curated record. Lineage: Eukaryota; Metazoa; Chordata; Chondrichthyes; Rajiformes; Rajidae.
AAUGAAUUUAAUCCAUUUUAGAAUAAGGCUGUAACGUAACAAAAUGUGGAAAAAGUGAAGGGGUCUGAAUACUUUCUGAAUACACUGUAAAUGGCACCUGUGAAGUAAGAACAAGAAACAAGGAAUGGCUUUGUUUUGUACUGCAAUUGUUUGAUCUGAUUGGCAUUUGCAUCACCAUGCAUAUGUUAUGAUUCAGUGCCGUUAACCACUGGGUUAUAAUAUCCCAUCUGCAAACUCCAGCACUAUUAGAAUGUCUUGAGAACUUUUCAGACGCCAGGCAUAGGAAUUUUGGCAAGUUAGUAAAAAAGAGAAGUGCACAGUAUCUUGAAAAUGCCAAUUCUUGAAAAAAAAAAGAGAGGGAGCAUCAAAUCCUUCUGCUUCACAUAUUCCCACUUGCCAAACAAAUAUACCCUUUUCUAACUUUCUGUGUUCACCCGAGAGAUAAAUCUCACAGCUGGCUGUAUCAGACUAAUUAUUAUAGGUUCAUUUCUUCAAGGGCUUAUUUUUUUAUAUUCAUUAUUAAAAUUGAGAAAAUUGCCAUCAAAAUCAUGCUUUAUAAUUAAAUCUCUUGUGGUCAGUGCUAUGUGUAAUGUUGUCAGUGUUUCCCUGUAGUCUUGACAAGUCCUUAGUGGUGUUUCUCAGUUUUACACAAGGAAGGCGAUUCAUGUAUUAGCAUCAGAAGUGCCAAUAGAAAUGAGUAAACAGUUCAAACUAAAAGUUGGGAGUUUUGAUGUUAUAAUUUGAGAAUAGUAGGAUAAAGUAGUGGCCACUCUGAAUUCGAUUAGGAUUCACUGUCUGUAAAUUUAGCGAAUAACAAUAAUUAACCAAGACAAUAAAAUGCAAUUUAGGAACCAUUACUAAACUCCUAAACGAGAAGCCACUUAAGAUGCUCUUUGGAAUAAAUAGAUCUCCCUUACAAUGAAUGUAUAGCCAGAACAUCACUCCCAGAAUGUACUUCAUUAUGUUUACACCAAAUAAUUUCCCAUUGUACAGUGAAGAAUAUCCCAGCUUUAUACAUUCUCUAAAUGUUCACACUGUUAGUUUAAAAAAUAUCAAUAUUAUAAAGGUGAGUUUUUUUUAAACCCUGUUUUUUAUAAUAUCGAUUUGGUUUGUAGGACAUUCCAAACAUGAAAUUAAACAGAGUUUAUCUCGAUUUCUUCUGACCAAGUGGUAGUUGCUACCCAUCUACUCUCACAGCAUCAGAAGGUGAAAAUUGUCUUUAAUUUCUCUUACAUGCAUCUAGUGUUUGUAUUGGCUGUUAGUUGUCUUUGCUUCUACACACCAAGUCCCAUUGUCGAGGCGGGACCAUUAGCCGGCAAUACUGUUGCAUGUAUUUGACACCAUCAACUGAGGAUGAAGAUAAAAAGACUGCUAAAGAUUACAAUUAUCCAAAUUAGAAAUAAUGAUUGAAGUUUAAAGUUAUCAAAGCUCCAGAAUUCGUUUCCUGUAUAAUUUGGCUUAUUUCAUUUUAUUUGAGUCCCUUCACUCUUAUAAUUCAUGUUCAAUAAUGUUCAUGUAACCCUACCAAUACUCAGCAGUUUCAUCUUUUGUCCACUCUGUCACAUUAAAACCAAGAGUAGACUAGUUAAACAUCAACAAAAGCUUCAUUUUUUGUGGUUCCCGAGAGGGCAGAGUAAAUAUAUUGGAAUAUUUAGGCUUGGAGAAGACCAGAGAGAUGGGAUUUGAUCGCAAGAAGGAGAAUUAGAAAAUCAGGCCCUUUAUGGCGUAGGUGUAAGUAGAAGACCAUUGUAACAUUAGGUCAGCUCAGUCCAAAGGACCGCUGAAGAGAAAGAUAAUACUAAUGAAUUGUAACACUAAACCAGUCAGGAUGUUUCACUGUGAUAUUAAAUCAAUAGUUGGGCAUCCAACUAGUAUAGGCAUCCAAUGCCCCACUUUUACAAUACAAAAUACUGUAGUUUUUUUUCAGCUGCUCUGAAUCUGUGUGGUUCAAUUAUUAAGCAAUUUCCCAUUUCCUCCACUUACUGGAGCUGUUGAUCCUGGAGCGAAUGUUGAUUCCAGUCAGAUUUGCUUGGAAUUCCGACUAGGCCAUGGUCAAUCAUGAAUCCUAGGCUGUGCAAACUCACUUAAGAUAGCCAGUUCCUGCAAAGGGAAUCUAUAACCUAAACACGUUCAAAUAAAUUCUUGCAGCUAAACAAGAUAUCACCAUUGAAAAAUCUUCUUGUUAAUUUAAGUAUCCUUGUCAAGUUGAUGUUUUCAUUGAGUACUCCAUGUUGAGCAAAUGUUGAGUGUAACAUAUAAACCUGUUUAGUGUUAAAAGCUUCUGCCUGCUGCAUUAGAUUAAAAGUUAAUUUUGCAGAAUCUAAGUGCAGAAGUAAAUAAUAAAAAUUGAACUGUAAAUAGUUGUAUUGGGAACACAGUGAAUUAGUGUUUUAGCAAAUGUUCUGUAUUAUCAAUGUUUUGUAAGUAUUUUCAAUGUAAUUUCAUAUAAUGUAGCUUUCUAAUUUCUGCAAAAGUGCUUUUAUUUUUGUAUAUUGUAGUAUCAUUUCAUUAACUCUGUUUCAUGGCGGAUAAAAUGUAACUCCAUCAAUAAAUAUGCUUCUCAAGUCAGUAUAGUUGUAAAUGUGAUUGUGCAGAUAUGUUUUAGUAAAAGGACAACUUUAAUAACUAUUUCUUUACAAAUGUAAAACUAUUUUAAUGAAGCAAUUUGUUUCGGACCAAGUGUUAAUCAUGGAGUAAAAUCCAAUCUGGCGGUUGAAUUGGGUGUUCACACUGCCCAAUUUUCUUCCAUUGACUCUAAUAGAAAGCAAAAUUAGUUGAAGUGUGUAAUGAUUGGGAGUGUAAUGGACAAGGUUUAUAAUGGCCAGCGUCUUGCCACAGCUAUUUAUACCCUCAUCUAAGUUGCAUUUUACCCAAUUGUGUUUUAGAACUUUGUAUCAACUAGGACAGUAAAAAUUAUUUGUUAGACAAAUUAAAGGCAAUUUUGCUUCAUAUAACACAGGCUAUCUCAAUAACAUAUCAAUACAAAUGUAUAAAAACUUCAUUUCAGUCACAUGGUCAUUUUUUCGUGCAAAUGGCCACAACAUUCAGUUGCAUAUCUGAAAAGGUUAAAAGCCCGUCUUUGUUUAAUAUAUAGAUUAUAAACAGCAUUGCUCAAUUAUUAAUACAGUUAAAUUGGUUCAUGUAACAUCUUCAAAUAUUGUUCAGAUUUCUUACUACAAUACAUAAGGAUUCAAAGUCUUAAUUUUGGUCAUGCAAUAGUGAGAUCUUAGUACUCUGUAUCCAUAGCCUGUGAUUUAAAAAUUGAAUUGCUUGGAUUAUCAGCCCUGUGCUGCAGUGUAACAUUUAGCAGGAUUAUCUUUUUUAAAAAAAAUCAAAUUAAAACUUUAAUUUGCAGUGAGGCAGACAAAAGCAGUUUGUAUUUUCUCUGCUAUUACAUACAAGGUACAGUUAAUGUGAAACAUUUUAAUCAUAUGCUGUUGUCUUUGUCUUACAUGUGAUCUUUAAAUAUUAACGUAGCACGCUAAAACAAAAGGCAGAAAUUAAGGAAGUCAUUGGUGUGGUAUAUCUGUAAUGUUGCUAAUAAACCAAACUAAUAGCUA